AUGUGCAUAGUGUUCUUUCUGGUAGAUCCAUCAGGAUUAUUCAGGAUCACUGCAUUGCCACUAAUGGAGGAGUCCAUUACAUUCGAUUGUACCACAGUGUAUCAGUCUCUGUACAAUGUUCUCCUGGUUCUGCUCUUCUCACUCUGCAUUAAUCCUAGAGAUUGUUCCAGUCUCCAUGGAAUUCCUCCAUUUUAUUAUUCCUUUGAGCGCAAUAGUAUUAUCACCAACAUAUACCACAAUUUGUUCAGCCAUUCCCCAAUUAAAGGGCAUCCCCUCAUUUUCCAAUUUUUGGCCACCACAAAGAGCACAGCUACCAACAUGUUCUUUUCAAGCUGUCCUGCUUGUUUGCAUUUCCUUCUUAACCUUCCAUUCUCUGUUCAUUUGAAUAAAUGUUCCAAUGAACAGAGACUUUGUCUUUUUAACUUUUUUCUUUUCUUUCUUUUUCUUUCUUCCUUCCCUUCUUUCUCUCCUUCCCUUUUUCUUUCUUUGCUUCCUACCUUUUUUCUUUUCUUUCUCCCUUUCUCUUUCUUUUCUCAGUUUCUUUAUCCCUUUCUCUCUCUCUUUCUUUCUUCCCCUUUCUUUCUUUUCUUUUUUUUAAACCCUUACCUUCCAUCUUUGAAUCAAUACUGGUUAUUGGUUCCAAGGCAGAAGAGUGCUAAGGGCUAGGCAAUGGGGGUUAAGUGACUUGCCCAGGGUCACACAGCUGGGAAGUGUCUGAGGUCAGAUUUGAGCCUAGGACCUCCCAUCUCUAGGGCUGGCUCUCAAUCCACUGUGACACUUACCUGCUCUUUCAUUCUUCCCUUUCCAUCCCACUUGACCUGUUGUAACAGCUCCCUAUAACAGUGAGGAGAAGACAGGGUGUUAAAGUCUGGGCUUCCUUCUUCUCCCCCCAAAUCCCCAUCUCCCACAAGAUCAAGGCUCUGCGCUCUAAAGUAGGUCUUGUGGUUGCUCUUUUUUUCCAAAAGCCGGUGCUUGGACCACCACCCUCUGUCUUUUUAGGGUAGAGAGAAUUGUAUCCUUUUUAGUGACCCAAACCUUUGAGGAGUCUGACACCCUUUUAGGAAAAAUAUAUUUUUUAAAUGCACAAAAUACAAUUUACAAGAUCAUAAUGAAAACCAAUUUUUAAAAAAGUUAUCAAAAUAUAUUUUUUAAAGUUUAUAGACACUCAGGUUAAGAAUCGCAGCUGUGGAAGGCCUACUCCCUGAACUCUCAAAUUAGAGGCUAUUCCUGAGGCAACCCCUAAACCCAUGUGUAAAUUCUUCUUUUUUUAAACCCUCUCCUUCCAUCUUAGAAACUCUACUGAGUAUUGCCUCCAAGACAGAAGAGUCUUGGAGGGCUGGGCAAUGGGGGUUAAGUGACUUGCCCAGGAUCACACAGCUCAUUGUGAUCUGAGUGUGUCUGAGGCCACAUUUGAACCCAGGACUUCCAAUCUCUAGGCCUGGCUCUCUAUACAUUGAGCCACCUCACUUUCCAUUUAUAAACAUUCUUAAUUUAUGUGUACAUGUGUUUUACUUAACCCCCUUGGAAGGUCCUUAAGAUUACUUCUUCCAUCCUAUCCCCAUUUCACAGCUCUGAAUUGAGAGAGAGCAGAAAGAGUUGGAAGAGAUGGGUGGCUUGACUGGGGUAGUCAGCUCGUCUAUGCCUCAGGUUCCUUCUUUAUAAAAUGAAAGGCUUGAACUUGAGGGCUGUCUCUAGAGCUCCCAGCUUUAAAUCCUGUGAUUAAUUUAUGAGACUGCCUGUGUCCUUGCCGACCUCCCCAGGCCCACAUUUUAUUCUUCUCUCAUCCCUGUUCCUGCCAUUCUAUGAAGGUCAGACAGAAAACCCAACAAUUUCUUUUCUAACACAAAGUAACAGAGGGGACAGCUGGGUGGCUCAGUGGAUUGAGAGUCAGGCCUAGAGGCAGGAGGUCCUGGGUUCAAAUCUGGCAUCAGAUACUUCCUAGCUGUGUGACCCUGGGCAAGUCACUUAACCCCCAUUGCUUAACCUUUACCUCUCUUCUGCCUUGGAAGCAAUACACAGUACUGAGUCUAGAAGCUAAUGAUCUCCUUUUAGGAAAAAUGUGUUCAAAAUGCACAAAAUAAAAUUCACAGGAUGUAAGAAAGUAACCCCA
Molecule: long non-coding RNA, 2110 nt
Filed under: Monodelphis domestica (gray short-tailed opossum)
Lineage: Eukaryota; Metazoa; Chordata; Mammalia; Didelphimorphia; Didelphidae
Description: lncRNA (ENSMODG00000043813.1)
Source: RNAcentral